This is an RNA transcript of Lagenorhynchus albirostris (white-beaked dolphin), 1758 nucleotides long. It is a transcript of the gene named EBP like, with no coding region annotated. The transcript is spliced from 11 exons. The record is from RefSeq and is a predicted model, not a curated record. Lineage: Eukaryota; Metazoa; Chordata; Mammalia; Artiodactyla; Delphinidae.
GGCGACUGGGCGGCCGGGCGGCCGGGCGGCCGGGUAAGCCUCCGUCCACUCCGCUCCGCCCCGUCCCGGCCGAGUAGCCCCGCCCCCUCGCCGCCCCGCUUCUCCCGCCGCACCGGGCAAUCCUGGUUGUUGGUGCCCCGCGGUCGGCGCCGGGAGCGGGAAGCAUGCGCGGCGACGGGGAACUGGGCGCCGCGGCUGGAGGCCCGCUGCUGCUGUGCGCCGCGUUGCUGGCCGUGGGCUGCGUACUGGGUCUGCGCCUGGGCCGCGGGCUGGGGGCUGCGGACCGCGGGGCGCUAGCCUGGCUCUGCUUCGACGCCCUGGUGCACUUCGCGCUGGAAGGCCCUUUUGUCUACUUGUCUUUGGUAGGAAACAUCACAGAUUCUGAUGCCUUGAUCGCUUCGUUGUGGAAAGAAUAUGGCAAAGCUGACGCAAGAUGGCUUUAUUUGGAUCCAACCAUUGUGUCUUUGGAAAUUCUGACUGUCGUCCUGGGAGGGUUUCUGGCAUUGGUUCUCAUUUAUGCCAUCGUCAAAGGGAAACAUUAUCGGUUCUGAACAUACGACAUCGCCGCUGCCUCCGUGUGAGAGACAAUCUCAGAAUCAGCAAUUAAACGUGCCAGGCGCCCAGGAGCCAGGAGCAGAGCAACCGGCCGAAACCUGGGGCUUCUCGGCAGGCACAUCACAGAGAAAAAAAGGAAACAUUCUGCUUGUGCUUCAGAGAAGAGGGAUUUUCGUCAGCACCUGGAUGGAACGUUGUCAGCACCCGGAGAGACCAGAGGAAACUGGGAAAACAGGUGACAGAGCCUCCUGCGGUGCGGGAGCUGGAAACAGCUACGACUGACCAGGCUGCAUCCUGUAAACAGUGGCUAUUUAUAGAUACUGUUGACCUUGGGCACAUGUAUGGCUCAGAGCAAAGUGCUUUCCUCCAGUGUCUUACCAAGACUGUCCAGCCCUCCCGUUCCCAGGCUCAAAGCACCCAUGCUUUGAGUUCCUCAGCCUUCAGAGAGGAGGUGGUAGCUGGAUGUACUGUCCCCAGACACUGUUGUGGGGAAAAGCUUCCAGAGAUAUACUGACACACAGUCACUGGAUUAAAUUGAUGCUCCCAUCUCAAUUAACUCAUUAGGGGUGUUUUAUCCAUACCUGAAGACUCCUUGGAGAUCCCUAUUGUAAGAUUGGGAACUCUGCCUUCUAAUCCGGCUCAUUGAUUCACUUCUGAGUGGACUGAGACAAAUCCUACCAAUUGUUGAAUUUGUUUCCUUGUUUGUGAAGCACUGAAUUUCCCCGGAAGCUACUUGUUAAAGAUGUCAGGAAAGCGAUCUUCAGGAAAUGGAAGGAAACUUGGUCCCGAAGCACGGUGUGGAGGAGAGCUUUAUGCCUGUUAGAAACACUUGUUUUGGACUUUACGUUCUUGACAGAUGCUUUUUACCAGCAUGGUCCUGUAUUAGCGUGACCACCAGGAGGAAGAGUCCUCGUCCUCGCGCGCCUUGGAGAUAGAGCCCAGUUUCUUCUUAAAGUACUACUUGUAAAUUGACAGCCUUUUGCCCUGUAGAAAAAGGUUAGAGAGCUCUAAAAUAAUCUUCUUUGGAACAACUAAUUUUGCUGUUUUCAGAUAACAAUUAUAGAGAGCUUCUGGAGCUGGAAAAAAAAAGUAAAAAAAAAAAAAAAGAAAUCACCCAGCACUAGUGCACAGGUCAAUUUUAGGUGAAGAGCCUAGGAUUUGUCUAAUGGAAAGUUACUCAAUCCAAUAAAUGAUACUAAUAAA